GACGAACGCUGGCGGCGUGCUUAACACAUGCAAGUCGAACGGAAAGGCCCUGCUUUUGUGGGGUGCUCGAGUGGCGAACGGGUGAGUAACACGUGAGCAGCCUGCCCUUGACUUUGGGAUAACUUCAGGAAACUGGGGCUAAUACCGGAUAGGAGCUCCUGCUGCAUGGUGGGGGUUGGAAAGUUUCGGCGGUUGGGGAUGGACUCGCGGCUUAUCAGCUUGUUGGUGGGGUAGUGGCUUACCAAGGCUUUGACGGGUAGCCGGCCUGAGAGGGUGACCGGCCACAUUGGGACUGAGAUACGGCCCAGACUCCUACGGGAGGCAGCAGUGGGGAAUAUUGCACAAUGGGCGGACGCCUGAUGCAGCAACGCCGCGUGCGGGAUGACGGCCUUCGGGUUGUAAACCGCUUUCGCCUGUGACGAAGCGUGAGUGACGGUAAUGGGUAAAGAAGCACCGGCUAACUACGUG
RNAcentral lists this ribosomal RNA (468 nucleotides) under uncultured bacterium. RNAcentral's name for it is "partial 16S ribosomal RNA". It matches the Rfam family "Bacterial small subunit ribosomal RNA", at positions 28 to 507 of the family's 1533-position model. The record is from RNAcentral.